Molecule: long non-coding RNA, 4716 nt
Filed under: Sus scrofa (pig)
Lineage: Eukaryota; Metazoa; Chordata; Mammalia; Artiodactyla; Suidae
Description: lncRNA (ENSSSCG00030002758.1)
Source: RNAcentral
CAAGGAGAGCUCUUGGCCCUAAGGGAGCCGACAUCAGGCUGGGAAGCAGACCAGAGUCAGAUGCCCAGAACUGAAGGCACCAAGGCCAGGCUCACCAGGGAGAUCAAGACGGCUUCCUGGAGGAGGUGACCGUAGAGCCGGUGGGGAAAACUGGGCAGCAGUGAUUCAGGUGACAGAGGAGACCCAGCCCCACGGAGGGGGGUUGGCCUGACGCAUCCAGGAAGGAAAUGGACGCCGCCAAGCAGUGUCAGGAACAGGCCCGGGGUGUCCGACUUCUGAGGGUCAGGGGCCCAGGCUGGGAGGAUGUUUGGGCCCCUCUGGGGUCUCUUCGAUGCUCCAGCGCAUCUCCCGGGGAGGCUCCGUUAUUUCUCUCUAACACUAUUCGGGAUCGAGACACAAAGGUGGUUGGCUGGGGGACCUUUCAGGAGCCAAGGGGGCAUUUCUGACAUUCAAGCCAAGUUUGCAGCAUCCUGCGACAGUGACCCUGGUACAGCAUGAAGGCCACGCAGGCCGAGCCAAAGCCAGUGUCCCCACCAAGAGGACGCCUUCCUCCACUGCAGGCUCCGAGGGUCCUGGGCAAGGAGAGCAAUGCUGGAGACGCGCCUGGGGGCAGUGGGUGGAUUCCUUGUUCACGUCUGGUGUGUGUGGGGGAGGGGUGGCAGGGGACAGGACGCUGGCCCCUGCGGAAUCUCAGGUCUGCUUUCUUGGCUGGGGGAAGGGCAGAGAACUGAGUUCGUGCCAAGGAUGCCCUUUCUUGUCUGCUUGGCAAACCAGUGUCUCUGGCCGCCCCACUGAUUCCUCUGAGCCAGUCUCAUGUGCAGGAGCAAAGUUUCGCUUUGUGUCUCUGAGGGUAGCCCAAGCCCCUGGCAAGGCCCAGCCUGGCCCCUCCCCAGGUCUGUCCUGUUGUGGCCUGUCCUCCUGGGCGGCCUGACUCUGCAGCCUGCAUCCCUGCCCCCGCAGCGGGUCCUAUGCUCUGGGCUUGGCUGACAGUCCUUCAGCCUAUUAGUGAUGCAACUUUGGGAGGAAAGUCACGGAGCCCCUCUGGCCUUGGGGACAGUCACAGCUGUCUCGUCCCCAAGGGUGGGGUGAGAACCAGGUGAGGAAGUUGAUGUGGGAGACGAUCUGAGUGGCACAGGACUGAACAUUAAAAAGAAGCCUUUCUUGGAGUUCCCUGGUGGCCCAAUGGUUAAGGACUUGGCAUUGUCACUGCUGCGGCUCCUGUUUGAUAGCUGGCCCAGGAAUGUCCACAUGUCAUGGACAUGGCCAAAAAAACACAAAACAAACAAACAAACAAAAAACCCCCAAAACCCAACAAAGCCUUUGGGGUCACUACUGUGGUCAGCAGCCUUCUAAUGUGACCCUAAGAGUCCCCGCCUCCUGGGGUUCUAAGCUCCGGGUGUUCCCCACCCCCUGAUGCUGGGCUGGGUCUGGUGACUGGUUCUGACCCACAGAACACAGCAAGCGUGAUGGACGUUGCUCUUGACGUUAGGUUCUAUAGGACCAAGACUUCCAUCUUGUUCCCUCCAGCUUUUCUCCCUUGCUUAGUCCACAAAGCUGGCUGCCCUGCCAUGAACUGCCCUAUGGAGAGGUCACAGGGCAGGGAACUGAGGCCCUUGGUCCAUCAGCCGGUGAGGAGCUGAAUCUAACUCAUGGCUGCUGAGUGAGCCUGGACCCUGGCAACGUCUGCAGCCACUGCCACACCUGGACUGCAGUGUCUGAGUGACACAGGGAGACCUCUGUCCAAGCUGCAUUCAGAUCCAGCCUAGGAAAAAGUGGGAGACAACAAACAUUGGUUUAAACCAUGAUGAUCCGGGGUUAUUUGUUAUGCAGCAGUAGCUAACUGACACACAUAUGUAAUUGAAUGUGUCUUCGGAAAAACGUAAGUAGCCCGUGACAUUGGGUUUGGGACAUUUGUUGCUUGCAGUGAUACUAAGGGAAAAAAAAGCAAUCAAUUUAGAUCAGUUUGAAGAGACUAUAAGAUAAAUAAAAUGCCGAUGAUGGCAGGAUGGUAAAAAUCCAGAGAAGGCAGAUGAUGACUGAAGUUCAGUGAGCACUGAGAUAUUGACGGGACAGUCAUCCAUGCCAUGGCAGGUGUGUUCAGUGUGAGGGGUAAUUCUGGAUCAAGUUGGGGGCACAGGGUGCAGCAAGGGCUUCCUCUUCCCAGGCUGAGCUCUGCUCUGAUGAGGGGGUGGGGGCUACACACAAGAUCAUCCAACUUACCACCGCCUUCCUCCCAGGCUCCCUGCCUCUCCCUGGACCUCCCUGCAUCCCAGCCUACCUACUCCCAGCAUCCUCAUCACAGGAGGCGUGGCCCGUGGCUUCUUUGCUGUAGCCCAGUGUCCAGUGGGUGGAGGGGACCAAGGAUCUGGGAACCCUGGUUCUAGGGCAGCUUCCGACGGUGGCAGAGUCACCUCCUUUCUCUGCGCUGAAGAGGAGGGACAGUAGGGGUCAGGGGAGGAAGAGGAAGGAGAGAGGAAGAUGGGGGCAGAGGUGUCAGAUGCUGUCACUGCCACACCCUGGGUUUCCUGCAGGCCUGAUUUCCAGUCUGGGGCACCAGAAAGACCCAUGGACAGAGCUGGUAGGAGGCCUGGUGACCUCAUCUGACCUCAGUCACAGACAAGGGGAGACCUUGGUAGAAUCCUUCUUACCUCUGGCCCAUCCCUAAAAUCCGGGCUCUACAGACCCGCAAGGCAUUCUGGGGGGUGUGGCUAGAGCCCACUGAGCCUGCAUCCCUUCCUCCAAAGGCUGGGAAGUGCUGUCACAGUGUCCUCUGUCCCUGUUCCGUCUGUCUCCUCCACCGAGCCAGACGGUGGAGUGCUCUGAAGGCUAAGUGGCCCCCUCUCACUAAGCACUUCCCUCCGCCCAGCACCUGACAGGUGUCACCUUGCGGGAACCCUGCCAACAGCCCGAGAGGCGGGCGUAAUUCUCUCCCCCGUUUAGGGAUAGGGAAGCAGCUUAGAGGGGGUGUGGAGAGACCAGCCUAGGAGCAGAGGCCACAGAGCCAGAAUGCUCGAUAAAUAAUUGCUGGGCGGGGCUGGCUGGGGGGCACUUCCUGGUCAAUGUCGCAGGGCAGCUGGACCUGGAGGAGGCAGGUUAGGUCGCCGCCAGGUGGGCCAGGUCGCCUGGAAAUUCCUGAGGGCCUGUGUGACCCCUGCACGCCUCACAGGGCGAGGUCUUGGGUUUGCUAGGAUCCCACUUCACAGAAGAGGAAGGCGCUGUGAAGUGCCUGAGGUCACAUCGUGGCUGGGCUGGUGGGUCUCUCUGAUUUCUCUCCCUGGUCAGCACUGCUCCUGGGUCCUGUCCCCUUCAGCCAGGGCCCCCAGGCCCAGGAGACCCAUGCCUGGGAUGACCAGGCUGUGCCGGUUACCCAUGGCUACCCAGAUGGCACCAGCUCUUCCUCUCCCCCAGGGGACCCGUAAGUGCCAGGCUGACUUACUGAAAGCUAGGACUGGACACCCAGGGGCCAUCUGUCUGCACCCCAGGGACGGUUUGGGCCUACUAGGAAUAACACACUGGCAUCUGAAAAAACUUAUUUCUGUCUGCCCUUUCUGGACAGCCCCUUCUUUGAGCCCCACCUGCCUCCAAACCAGCCUCAACCCAUGAAGUCCUUGUAAACGCUUACACAGCACUGCGUUCCCGCCUGGGCCUCCUGAGUUUGUAUAAACAUCAAAGGAAUUCUUUAAUUACAGUAAAGACAAGUCCUCGGGGGAUGGGCCUGUUUGGCAAAGAGCUGUGUGCAUCUAUUGUUUCCUUUUUCAGAAUAAAAAUAUCUUCCCUUUUUUCAGGUUUUCAAAUGUAUGCCGAUUGUGUAAAAAAGGAACAGGGAGUUCCCGUUGUGGCUCAGUAGUAACGAACCCAACCACCAUCCAUGAGGAUGAGGGUUCGGUCCCUGGCCUCGCUCAGCGGAUUAAGGAUCCAGCAACGCUGUGACGUGGGUCUCAGAGGCAGCUUGGAUCCCAUGUUGCUGUGGCUGUGGCACAGGUUGGCAGCUACAGCUCCAAUUUGACCCCUAGCCUGGAAACGUCCAUAUGCCAAGGGUGCGGCCCUAAACAGAAAAACAGCAACAACAAACAAACCAAAGCCAUGAAUACAGCCUGUGAUUUCUCUCCACCCUCCUGGGAUAAUCACCUCUGAUGAUACAGAGCUGUUAUCAUCUCUUAAAUCCUGACCAACUGAUGGGCUCAAGGAUUUCGCUGUUAUUUUAAUUUGCACGUCUGUCUUCUAAGAAGUCAUGGCUUUACUUCAAACAUUAGUUGUUGAUAUUUCUUUGUUGGUAAACUUCUGGUUCUUGUCCUUAGCUCCUUUCCCACCUUUGGGGAAUUUUAUCUUUUCCUUACUGACUUUUUUUUUUCUUUUUAUGGCCUUCCCUGCAGCAUGUGGAAGGUCCUGCACCUAUGCCACAGCCACGGCAAGGCUGGACUGGAGCCUCAUCUGCGACAUACACCACCGUUUUCAUCAAUGCAGGAUCCUUAACCCACCGGGCAAGGCCAGGGAUCAAACCCGCAUCCUCAUGAGACCGUGGCGAGUUCUUAACCUGCUGAGCCACAACAGGAACCCCUCCUUUUUAAUUUUUAAUUCUGUGGGGGCACAAUUUUAGGUCCCAUGACCCCCCCCUCCCCAUCAUGCCUGUGGUUAUGGUUGGUUAGAUGUCAAAAGAGAUUACGUAGAUGUAAUUAAGGUUACUAAUCAGCUGAUCUUAAAAUAAGGAGAUGAUCC